CUGUUUGAAACUUUCCAAGAUGAGAUGGGAUUCUCCAACAUGGAAGAUGAUGGCCCAGAAGAGGAGGAGCGUGUGGCUGAGCCUCAACCUAACUUUAACACCCCUCAAGUUCUACGGUUUGAGGAACUACUGGCCAACCUACUAAAUGAACAACAUCAGAUAGCGAAGGAACUAUUUGAACAGCUGAAGAUGAAGAAACCUUCAGCCAAACAGCAGAAGGAGGUAGAGAAGGUUAAACCCCAGUGUAAAGAAGUUCAUCAGACCCUGAUUCUGGACCCAGCACAAAGGAAGAGACUCCAGCAGCAGAUGCAGCAGCAUGUUCAGCUCUUGACACAAAUCCACCUUCUUGCCACCUGCAACCCCAAUCUCAAUCCGGAGGCCAGUAGCACCAGGAUAUGUCUUAAAGAGCUGGGAACCUUUGCUCAAAGCUCCAUCGCCCUUCACCAUCAGUACAACCCCAAGUUUCAGACCCUGUUCCAACCCUGUAACUUGAUGGGAGCUAUGCAGCUGAUUGAAGACUUCAGCACACAUGUCAGCAUUGACUGCAGCCCUCAUAAAACUGUCAAGAAGACUGGUAGGAGACAGAUGUGUCAGCUUUAAGUUUUUACUUGCGCCAAUGAAUUUCCCUGUUUGCCAAAGCAAGUGGCUUGGAUCCUGGCCACAAGCAAGGUUUUCAUGUAUCCAGAGUUACUUCCAGUGUGUUCCCUGAAGGCAAAGAAUCCCCAGGAUAAGAUCCUCUUCACCAAGGCUGAGGACAAUUUUAUAAGAAGACCAAACAGCUGCCAGUCCUAGGAAAAUGCUGUGAAGAGAUCCAGCCACAUCAGUGGAAGCCACCUAUAGAGAGAGAAGAACACCGGCUCCCAUUCUGGUUAAAGGCCAGUCUGCCAUCCAUCCAGGAAGAACUGCGGCACAUGGCUGAUGGUGCUAGAGAGGUAGGAAAUAUGACUGGAACCACUGA
This 958-nucleotide small RNA is filed under the name Pan troglodytes (chimpanzee). RNAcentral's name for it is "processed transcript". The record is from RNAcentral. Lineage: Eukaryota; Metazoa; Chordata; Mammalia; Primates; Hominidae.